Molecule: ribosomal RNA, 253 nt
Filed under: uncultured bacterium
Lineage: Bacteria
Description: partial 16S ribosomal RNA
Rfam family: Bacterial small subunit ribosomal RNA
Source: RNAcentral
UACAGAGACUGCAAGCGUUAUUCGGAUUCACUGGGCGUAAAGGGUGCGCAGGCGGCCAAGUGUGUGAGACGUGAAGCCCGGGGCUUAACUCCGGAAUUGCACCUCAAACUACAUGGCUAGAGCAUUGGAGAGGGUAGCAGAAUUCACGGUGUAGCAGUGAAAUGCGUAGAUAUCGUGAGGAAUACCCAGAGGCGAAGGCGGCUACCUGGACAAUUGCUGACGCUCAGGCACGAAAGCGUGGGGAGCAAACAGG